GAUGAAGAACGUAGCGAAAUGCGAUAAGUAAUGUGAAUUGCAGAAUUCAGUGAAUCAUCGAAUCUUUGAACGCACAUUGCGCCCGCCAGUAUUCUGGCGGGCAUGCCUGUUCGAGCGUCAUUACAACCCUCAGGCCCCCGGGCCUGGCGUUGGGGAUCGGCGGAAGCCCCCUGCGGGCACAACGCCGUCCCCCAAAUACAGUGGCGGUCCCGCCGCAGCUUCCAUUGCGUAGUAGCUAACACCUCGCAACUGGAGAGCGGCGCGGCCACGCCGUAAAACACCCAACUUCUGAAUGUUGACCUCGAAUCAGGUAGGAAUACCCGCUGAACUUAAGCAUAUCAAUAAGCAGAGGA
This 353-nucleotide unclassified non-coding RNA is filed under the name soil metagenome. Its description in RNAcentral is "partial contains 5.8S ribosomal RNA, internal transcribed spacer 2, and large subunit ribosomal RNA". The stretch from base 1 to 120 matches the Rfam family "5.8S ribosomal RNA", at positions 35 to 154 of the family's 154-position model. The record is from RNAcentral.